UUAAUAGCCAGGGAGAGUGAAGUCCUCAGUUUAUCCAGAGAGCUGGUGCAGCACGAACAGCCAGUGCUAUCCUCCCACCAGUGUCCUGCCAAUGUGCCUCCACACCCAUUCAAUCACUGGCCUCUCUUCUGAAGCCAACAAGGUGCCAACUGUGGUGCAGACCCUUGUUCAGUGGGACAAGGGAUUGA
This 188-nucleotide small RNA is filed under the name Gopherus agassizii (Agassiz's desert tortoise). RNAcentral describes it as "TUC338 (ENSGAGG00000013393.1)". The record is from RNAcentral. Lineage: Eukaryota; Metazoa; Chordata; Testudines; Testudinidae.